CGCCAGACUCCUACGGGAGGCAGCAGUGGGGGAUAUUGCACAAUGGGGGGAACCCUGAUGCAGCGACGCCGCGUGGGUGAAGGAGUAUUUCGGUAUGUAAAGCCCUAUCGGCAGGGAAGAAGCAAGACGGUACCUGACUAAGAAGCCCCGGCUAACUACGUGCCAGCAGCCGCGGUAAUACGUAGGGGGCGAGCGUUAUCCGGAUUCACUGGGUGUAAAGGGAGCGUAGACGGUUCUGCAAGUCUGAAGUGAAGGCCCGUGGCUUAACCGCGGAACGGCUUUGGAAACUGUGGAACUGGAGUGCUGGAGAGGCAAGCGGAAUUCCUAGUGUAGCGGUGAAAUGCGUAGAUAUUAGGAGGAACACCAGUGGCGAAGGCGGCUUGCUGGACAGUAACUGACGUUGAGGCUCGAAAGCGUGGGGAGCAAACAGGAUUAGAUACCCCAGUA
RNAcentral lists this ribosomal RNA (447 nucleotides) under uncultured bacterium. RNAcentral describes it as "bacterial SSU rRNA". It matches the Rfam family "Bacterial small subunit ribosomal RNA", at positions 329 to 792 of the family's 1533-position model. The record is from RNAcentral.